UACAGAGGUCUCGAGCGUUGUUCGGAUUCAUUGGGCGUAAAGGGCGCGUAGGCGGCGGGGCAAGUCGGGUGUGAAAUCUCAGAGCUCAACUCUGAAACUGCACUCGAUACUGCUUUGCUUGAGGACGGGAGAGGAGAUUGGAAUUCACGGUGUAGCAGUGAAAUGCGUAGAUAUCGUGAGGAAGACCAGUGGCGAAGGCGGAUCUCUGGACAGUUCCUGACGCUGAGGCGCGAAGGCCAGGGGAGCAAACGGG
Molecule: ribosomal RNA, 253 nt
Filed under: uncultured bacterium
Lineage: Bacteria
Description: partial 16S ribosomal RNA
Rfam family: Bacterial small subunit ribosomal RNA
Source: RNAcentral